ACUUUCAACAAAACCCUGGGUUGUG
This 25-nucleotide non-coding RNA is filed under the name Cricetulus griseus (Chinese hamster). Lineage: Eukaryota; Metazoa; Chordata; Mammalia; Rodentia; Cricetidae. The record is from RNAcentral.